CGAGUCGAACGAGAAAGCUCUCUUCGGAGAGUGAGUACAGUGGCGAACGGGUGAGUAACACGUGGGUAAUCUGCCCUCAGGUUGGGAACAACACUUCUAACGAGGUGCUAAUACCGAAUAAUAAGGCCGAUUGCAGGAUCGGUUUUUAAAGGUGGCCUCUACUUGUAAGCUGCCGCCUGAGGAUGAGCCCGCGUCGUAUUAGCUUGUUGGUGGGGUAAUGGCCUACCAAGGCAACGAUGCGUAGCCGGCCUGAGAGGGUGAACGGCCACACUGGAACUGAGACAAGGUCCAGUCUCCUACGGGAGCCAGCAGUCUAGAAAUUUGCACAAUCGUCGAAAGGCGGAUGCAGCGACACCACGUGGAGGAUGAAGCCCCUCGGGGUGUAAACUCCUGUCAGUUGGGAAGAAGGCGCGNGUGUUAAUACCACUUGUUGCUUGACGGUACCUUCAGAGGAAGCUCCGGCUAACUACGUGCCAGCAGCCGCGGUAAUACGUAGGGAGCGAGCGUUGUUCGGAUUUACUGGGCGUAAAGAGCACGUAGGCGGGCAUGCAAGUCGGUUGUGAAAUCCUCUGGCUCAACCAGAGAACUGCAAUCGAAACUGCAUGCCUUGAGUCCAGCAGAGGAAAUCGGAAUCUUAGGUGUAGCGGUGAAAUGCGUAGAUAUCUAAGAGAACAUCAGUGGCGAAGGCGGAUUUCUGGGCUGGCACUGACGCUGAGGUGCGAAAGCUGAGGUAGCGAACAGGAUUAGAUACCCUGGUAGUCUCAGCCGUAAACGAUGGGUACUAGGUGUUGGGGGACAUUGACCCCCUCAGUGCCGUAGCUAACGCAUUAAGUACCCCGCCUGGGGAGUACGGCCGCAAGGCUGAAACUCAAAGGAAUUGACGGGGACCCGCACAAGCAGUGGAGCAUGUUGCUUAAUUCGANGCAACGCGAAGAACCUUACCAGGGCUUGACAUCUGGGGAACCU
This 966-nucleotide ribosomal RNA is filed under the name metagenome. RNAcentral's name for it is "bacterial SSU rRNA". It matches the Rfam family "Bacterial small subunit ribosomal RNA", at positions 58 to 998 of the family's 1533-position model. The record is from RNAcentral.